AAACUUGAGAAGAAGAUGAUCGAACCCUCCCUCUCCUCCGCAGAGAAAUCAUAAUCUCUCUCUCUCUCUCUCUCUCUCUCUCUCUCCAUGAAAGCAAAACAUCUUCGAGAAAAUUCCCCAAACCCUAAUCAAUUCCACUCGUUGACUCUCUCUUUGUCACUGUCCAAAUCAAUGGACUGAUUGACACAGAGAGAGAGAGAGACAUGGACACCAAGGUCCAGACUUUGCCCCCAAUCACUUCUCUCUCUCCCUCAGUCCUCUCCUUCCUCCACCACAAACUCCUCUCCACAGAUCAACUCCACCGAGCUUCCACUCUCGUAUCGGAGCUCCACACUCGCUGCUUCGAUUUGGACCAAAGCCUCACAGAUCUCAACCAUCGUCUCGAAUCCACCCUCCUCUCUUACGCUUCGUAUUCUGAUCGAAUCGAUGCUCUCUACGCCAACAUCAAUUCCAAAUUAACCCAUCUCCGUUCUUCUACUCGCAUUUCCGAUGGAUUGGGGAGAUCGGAGCAGAUAUUGGCGGAGGAGCUACCGUCGCUUGCGAAGGAAGUCGCGAGGGUUGAGACGGUUCGAAUGUAUGCCGAGACAGCAUUAAAGCUUGAUACUUUGGUUGGUGAUAUUGAAGAUGCAGUAUCUUCCACAAUAAACAGAAACCUAAGGAAGCAUUCUUCCACACAGAAUUCAGAAUCUCUGCAGGAUGUGCGUUUGCUUGCUAUUAAUUCACUCAGACUAACUGAAGAUGUUCUAGCUUCAGUUACAAAAACACGUUCUCAGUGGGCACAUCUAGUUUCAGCUGUUGAUCACAGAGUAGAUCGAGCAUUAGCCAUUUUAAGGCCCCAGGCAAUUGCAGAUCACAGGGCCCUUCUUACUUCACUUGGAUGGCCACCACCUUUGUCCAUGUCGAAUUCCUCAGAUUCAGAUGCAAGGAAACCAGCUGAAGUGCAAAAUCCUCUUUUUACAAUGCAAGGGGUCCUCAAGCAUCAGUACUGUGAAAAUUUUAUUGCAUUAUGCUGCCUGCAGGAAUUGCAGAGACGAAGAAAAUCUCGGCAACUAGCGGGGCAUAAUAGGGAAGUUGCCCUGCACCAGCCACUUUGGUCUAUUGAGGAGCUGGUGAACCCUUUAGCAAUUGCAUCCCAACGCCAUUUCUCAAAGUGGGUUGAUAAGCCAGAAUUCAUGUUUGCUCUUGUAUAUAAGAUUACUCGGGAUUAUGUAGACUCCAUGGAUGAGUUGUUGCAACCCCUAGUUGAUGAAGCGAUGCUAUCAGGUUACAGUUGCAGAGAAGAAUGGAUUUCAGCAAUGGUGUCCUCCCUAUCAACAUACUUAGCAAAGGAAAUAUUUCCCAUAUAUGUUGGUCAGCUUGAAGAAGAGAGUGUCACCAGUGGUCGCUCCCAGGGUAGAAUAGCCUGGCUUCAUCUUGUUGACUUGAUGAUUAGCUUUGAUAAAAGAGUACAAUCUCUGGUAGCACAGAUGGGAAUCUUGCCUUCCUUCCAAGAAGAUGGAAAGAAAAUUUCUUCUCUAUCUGUAUUUUGUGAUCGACCUGAUUGGCUUGAUUUGUGGGCAGAGAUAGAGAUUACUGACAUGUUUGAUAAGUUAAAGCCUGAGAUGGAGAAUGAGAGAAACUGGUCAACCAAAAUUGAGGGAGGAGUUGUCUCUGGUUCAGAAGAUUAUAAAUCUCCUGCAAUUUCCAGCGCUUUUCUUCGGCGCUUAUCAUCUGUGGUUGAUCGUUCUCGAUCAGUGCCAACCAUUUAUUUAAGGUCAAGGUUUAUCCGAUUGGCUGGUGUACCUCUUGUACGCAAAUUUUUGGAUUGUUUAUUUCUCAGAUGCCAAGAAGCCGAGGGCCUGACAGCCCUGACUGAUGAUGAUGCUCUAAUCAAAGUUACAAAAUCCAUUAAUGCUGGUCGCUAUUUUGAGUCCGUUUUGAAGGAAUGGUGUGAAGAUGUCUUUUUUCUGGAGAUGGGAUUGAACCAUAGCGAUCAAUUGGCCAUACCAGUCAGUGAGGGUGGUUUAAUAGGAGAGGCAAAUGAACCUGGGACUGGUAUUUUUGAUGCGGAAAUUGAGAAGCUGGGAGAGUUCAGAACAGAAUGGGUUGAGAAGUUAUCUACUGUUGUUUUGAGAGGAUUUGAUGCUCGCUGUCGAGAUUAUAUUAAGAACAAGAAGCAAUGGCAAGAAAAGGGUGAAGAAGGCUGGGCAGUAUCUAAACAGUUCAUUGCAGCGCUUGAUUAUCUGCAAGGAAAAAUGUCGGUUUUAGAAGAGGGUUUGAAUGGGGUGGACUUCGUUGGGGUUUGGAGAAGGUUGGCAACCAGCGUGGAUCGUUUGCUUUUUAAUGGUAUUCUUAUGAGCAAUGGGAAGUUUCAUGAUGGGGGUGUUGAGAGACUUGGUAGUGAUUUGGCUGUUUUGUUUGGAGUAUUUGAGGCUUGGUGUUUGAGGCCUGAAGGGUUCUUCCCCAAAGUGAGUGAGGGCUUGAAGUUGUUGAAAAUGAGGGAAAAUCAACUUAAAGAUAGUUUGGAAGGUGGGGAGAGAUGGUUGAAGGAAAAUGGGAUACGGCAUUUGACUGUCAACGAGGAAGAAAAGAUCGUAAAGAAUAGGGUAUACAUAAAGUGAGAAAUUCAAGGAUAGCACUUCAUUUACAUUACUCUCUGCAAAGGGAAAACAAGCUUAUUAGAAAUUAGUGAGUUUAGUUCAGAUAUGUUGCAGCUGGAGGGGUGCUGUGCAUUGCUCUGGAGUCCCAAAACGACUGACUCAAUUUUUUACGCUGCCUCUAGGUUUCAUUUGGAAGAAUUAAUUGAUCGCUCCAACCACAUUAACAAAUAAAUUUUGAGAAUAUAGAUUCUGAGAACAGAACAGUUUGAAGUUAGAUUUUCCUUCCGAGUCUAUUUGGAGAGCCAUGAUGACACACCGCAAUUGGGAACCAAUUAGGGCUAUAUCCUAUCUGAGUAGUGUACUUGAACAAGUACAGGCAAAAACGUCACCACAUGGUUCUUUCUAGCAUUGGAUCGGGAAGGGAGGCAUAAGACAGAAGAUGGGACAAGGUGAGGAUAAAAUGAUGCUAACUUUAUUUUUGUCCCCUUCAUUUUGGGUCUUCUUUGAGCAAUAUAUGGUAUAUGCCGACGUGAACUUCGGUUUGAUUCAUCACUUUCUUUGCAUUUUGAGCUUGAAAUUAAUAUCAGAGAACAUUUGUAAAGUGAUCAUAUCUAUUUGGAUAUUUACACUGGAUAAAUUAUACUGAAUUCUCUCAA
This is an RNA transcript of Camellia sinensis, 3235 nucleotides long. It is a transcript of the gene named RINT1-like protein MAG2, with no coding region annotated. Lineage: Eukaryota; Viridiplantae; Streptophyta; Magnoliopsida; Ericales; Theaceae. The record is from RefSeq and is a predicted model, not a curated record.